GCUAUGAUCUGACAUUGAGACCAACUACAACCAGGUAAUAAAACUAUGAUCUGACUGUGAGACCCACUACAACCAGGUAAUAAAACUAUGAUCUGACUGUGAGACCCACUACAACCAUAUAAUAAAGCUAUGAUCUGACAUUGAGACCUACUACAACCAGAUAAAGCUAUGAUCUGACUGUGAGACCAAGUAAUAAAACUAUGAUCUGACUGAGAGACCCACUACAACCAGGUAAUAAAACUAUGAUCUGACUGAGAGACCCACUACAACCAGGUAAUAAAGCUAUGAUCUGACUGUGAGAACCACUACAACCAGGUAAUAAAACUAUGAUCUGACUGUGAGACCCACUACAACCAGGUAAUAAAACUAUGAUCUGACUGUGAGACCCACUACAACCAGGUAAUAAAACUAUGAUCUGACUGUGAGACCCACUACAACCAGGUAAUAAAGCUAUGAUCUGACUGUGAGACCCACUACAACCAGUUAAUAAAACUAUGAUCUGACUGUGAGACCCACUACAACCAGGUAAUAAAACUAUGAUCUGACCGUGAGACCCACUACAACCAGGUAAUAAAACUAUGAUCUGACUGUGAGACCAGGUAAUACAACUAUGAUCUGACUGUGAGACCCACUACAACCAGUUAAUAAAACUAUGAUCUGACUGUGAGACCCACUACAACCAGGUAAUAAAACUAUGAUCUGACUGUGAGACCAGGUAAUACAACUAUGAUCUGACUGUGAGACCCACUACAACCAGGUAAUAAAACUAUGAUCUGACUGAGAGACCCACUACAACCAGGUAAUAAAACUAUGAUCUGACUGUGAGACCCACUACAACCAGGUAAUAAAGCUAUGAUCUGACUGCGAGACCCACUACAACCAGGUAAUAAAACUAUGAUCUGACUGUGAGACCCACUACAACCAG
Long non-coding RNA from Coregonus clupeaformis (lake whitefish), 925 nucleotides. RefSeq lists it as uncharacterized. Lineage: Eukaryota; Metazoa; Chordata; Actinopteri; Salmoniformes; Salmonidae. The record is from RefSeq and is a predicted model, not a curated record. The transcript has 3 exons.